RNAcentral lists this long non-coding RNA (307 nucleotides) under Crocodylus porosus (Australian saltwater crocodile). RNAcentral describes it as "lncRNA (ENSCPRG00005017005.1)". Lineage: Eukaryota; Metazoa; Chordata; Crocodylia; Crocodylidae. The record is from RNAcentral.
CAUUUCCUUAUGCUCAAUAUCCUAUGGCUCCUAGGAUUUUAAAAAAAAUGUUUGUGCUUGUUUUUCAUUUUUUAAUAGAUCGUCAAGCAAGGAGUGACUACCCUGAGCAAUCUAGUGAGAUGUUCUUUAUACACUGUCUGUUGUUCUUCCUGGAAGCUGUGUUAAAACAACUUUUAGAAAGAAUAUUGCCAUGUACAUCACCUGACUGCUGACAGAGACCUGGAAAAAGACAUCCUGUGAACCUCUACUGAGACAAUCUACAAAAUUUGGUGCUGAAAUGAAGAAUGCUUGAAGCAUACUGUCUGAG